RNAcentral lists this transfer RNA (74 nucleotides) under Phycisphaerales bacterium. Its description in RNAcentral is "tRNA-Arg". It matches the Rfam family "tRNA". Rfam says of the family: Transfer RNA (tRNA) molecules are approximately 80 nucleotides in length. Their secondary structure includes four short double-helical elements and three loops (D, anti-codon, and T loops). Lineage: Bacteria; Pseudomonadati; Planctomycetota; Phycisphaerae; Phycisphaerales. The record is from RNAcentral.
GCGCCGGUAGCUCAGUCGGACAGAGCAUCGGAUUUCUAAUCCGAAAGUCGCAGGUUCGAGUCCUGCCCGGCGCG